UCGUAACAAGGUUUCCGUAGGUGAACCUGCGGAAGGAUCAUUACUGAGUGCGGGCUGCCUCCGGGCGCCCAACCUCCCACCCGUGAAUACCUAACACUGUUGCUUCGGCGGGGAACCCCCUCGGGGGCGAGCCGCCGGGGACUACUGAACUUCAUGCCUGAGAGUGAUGCAGUCUGAGUCUGAAUAUAAAAUCAGUCAAAACUUUCAACAAUGGAUCUCUUGGUUCCGGCAUCGAUGAAGAACGCAGCGAACUGCGAUAAGUAAUGUGAAUUGCAGAAUUCAGUGAAUCAUCGAGUCUUUGAACGCACAUUGCGCCCCCUGGCAUUCCGGGGGGCAUGCCUGUCCGAGCGUCAUUGCUGCCCAUCAAGCCCGGCUUGUGUGUUGGGUCGUCGUCCCCCCCCGGGGGACGGGCCCGAAAGGCAGCGGCGGCACCGUGUCCGGUCCUCGAGCGUAUGGGGCUUUGUCACCCGCUCGACUAGGGCCGGCCGGGCGCCAGCCGACGUCUCCAACCAUUUUUCUUCAGGUUGACCUCGGAUCAGGUAGGGAUACCCGCUGAACUUAAGCAUAUCAAUAA
This 574-nucleotide unclassified non-coding RNA is filed under the name Aspergillus sydowii. RNAcentral's name for it is "sequence contains 18S rRNA gene, ITS1, 5.8S rRNA gene, ITS2, 28S rRNA gene". The stretch from base 200 to 353 matches the Rfam family "5.8S ribosomal RNA". Lineage: Eukaryota; Fungi; Ascomycota; Eurotiomycetes; Eurotiales; Aspergillaceae. The record is from RNAcentral.